GAGACGCUUCACUGAACUGCUAAAUCAAUCCACCGGACCUAAACGUCCGGCUUCUC
Molecule: transfer RNA, 56 nt
Filed under: Agama boulengeri
Lineage: Eukaryota; Metazoa; Chordata; Lepidosauria; Squamata; Agamidae
Description: tRNA-Ser
Source: RNAcentral